AAUGAAUGCUGGCGGCGUGCCUAACACAUGCAAGUCGAGCGGCAGCGCGAGUAGUUUACUACUUGGCGGCGAGCGGCGGACGGCUGAGUAACGCGUGGGAACGUGCCCCAAAGUGAGGAACAACUGCCCGAAAGGGUAGCUAAUGCCGCAUAUGGUCUUCGGAUUAAAGUAUUUAUACGCUUUGGGAGCGGCCCGCGUCGGAUUAGGUAGUUGGUGAGGUAAAGGCUCACCAAGCCGACGAUCCGUAGCUGGUCUUAGAGGAUGAUCAGCCAGACUGGAACUGAGACACGGUCCAGACUCCUACGGGAGGCAGCAGUGAGGAAUCUUCCACAAUGGGCGAAAGCCUGAUGGAGCAACGCCGCGUGAAGGAUGAAGGCCUUAGGGUUGUAAACUUCUUUUAUAAGUGAAGAAUAUGACGGUAACUUAUGAAUAAGCACCGGCUAACUACGUGCCAGCAGCCGCCGUAA
Molecule: ribosomal RNA, 467 nt
Filed under: uncultured bacterium
Lineage: Bacteria
Description: partial 16S ribosomal RNA
Rfam family: Bacterial small subunit ribosomal RNA
Source: RNAcentral